This 510-nucleotide long non-coding RNA is filed under the name Junco hyemalis (dark-eyed junco). RNAcentral's name for it is "lncRNA (ENSJHYG00000010179.1)". Lineage: Eukaryota; Metazoa; Chordata; Aves; Passeriformes; Passerellidae. The record is from RNAcentral.
UCCUUUCUUGUGUUCAUUUACCUGCCCAUACUCCUCUUUGACUUGCUCACCUAGCUAAGCUUGCUCACUCUCCUGAAUCCUGGGAGCUCUUGCUAGCACUCCAGAUAUAAAGCUGUGUUUUGCAGUUUAUAGUAUUUUCCCCAUAAAAGCAUAGAAGAAAAAUUUGAGUACUGGAAAUCUCUGGCUUUGCAGUAGAAAACUUAGAGCUGUAAAGGAUUUGGUUACAGCAACUCCAUGGUAACAGAAAAAAAUAUCUCUUCCAUGCUCACUGGCAAACCAGCUUCCUUUUCCAUUGCUUCCACAUUUGAAUGGCAAACUAAUGGCGUGACUACUCAGCUGUCUCAGGAUUCCAGAAGCUCUACAAUUGCUUCUUUUGGAAAGAACCCCAGCUGAUGACUUCCAAGAUUCCCAGAAAAACUGAUGAUAAUUACUGCACACCAAAUACGUUCCUACAUGAUGUGCACUGAUACCUUUUUAUUUAAUAAAAAUGUGUCACCAUAUAUAUGUGCA